AGUCUAGCAUGUGCGCGAGUCAUUGGGACUCAAUAAACCUAAAGGCGCAAUGAAAGUGAAAGUCUGUUUACGCGGACUUAGGGAGGAUAGGUGCGUACACAUUGUGUACAACCUCGCACUCCCGGGGCGUCUCGCACUCAUUGCGAGGUGGGGCGCACCAAGAGCGUACACGCUGGGACCCGAAAGAUGGUGAACUAUGCCUGGUCAGGACGAAGUCAGGGGAAACCCUGAUGGAGGUCCGUAGCGAUUCUGACGUGCAAAUCGAUCGUCGGAACUGGGCUUAGGGGCGAAAGACUAAUCGAACCAUCUAGUAGCUGGUUCCCACCGAAGUUUCCCUCAGGAUAGCUGGCACUAGAUUAUGGAUGAGUCUCAUCCGGUAAAGCGAAUGAUUAGAGGCAUUGGGGUCGAAACGGCCUCAACCUAUUCUCAAACUUUAAAUGGGUGAGAUCUCCGGCUUGCUCGAUUUAUGAAGCCGGAGAUCGGAUCAAUUAGUGCCAAGUGGGCCACUUUUGGUAAGCAGAACUGGCGCUGUGGGAUGAACCAAACGCAGAGUUAAAGCGCCAAAAUCGACGCUUAUGGGAUACCAUGAAAGGCGUUGGUAACUUAAGACAGCAGGACGGUGGCCAUGGAAGUCGGAA
RNAcentral lists this ribosomal RNA (638 nucleotides) under Carabus nitididorsus nitididorsus. RNAcentral describes it as "eukaryotic LSU rRNA". It matches the Rfam family "Eukaryotic large subunit ribosomal RNA", at positions 672 to 1266 of the family's 3401-position model. Lineage: Eukaryota; Metazoa; Arthropoda; Insecta; Coleoptera; Carabidae. The record is from RNAcentral.